UAUCUGGAGGACUAGUGGUUAGGCCACAGUGCUCUCACCGCUGUGGCCCAGGUUUGAUUCCUGGCCAGGGAA
Molecule: transfer RNA, 72 nt
Filed under: Pangasius djambal
Lineage: Eukaryota; Metazoa; Chordata; Actinopteri; Siluriformes; Pangasiidae
Description: tRNA-Glu
Rfam family: tRNA
About the family: Transfer RNA (tRNA) molecules are approximately 80 nucleotides in length. Their secondary structure includes four short double-helical elements and three loops (D, anti-codon, and T loops).
Source: RNAcentral